CAUUUCAGCUAUCCUGCGGGCCUCCUCCUCCUCAGCACUCAUCUGCCCCUCCACCCCCUCUGUGGGAAGAAGGGAGGAAGGGAAAGAGGGAGAGAUGAUGUGACACAAUAAGGACACCAACGAGCGAGUUUGAGAGCUGCUUGCAAGAGGAGGGGAUUAACGCCGACGUGUGGCCCAGUUUGUGUUAUUGAUCAACUGCCAACAGAGUAGCAACAGCAGCUACUCCAACCAGAGUUCAUCUUACAGAAAUAACGCAGAAACUGAGCCAAUGUGGGAUUGUAUUACAGCCACAAGUCUCUUCUCUCUAUAGCAAAGAGAGGGUAUAAUACUCUGGUGGUCCACAAAGAGCUUUGGAAACACUUUGAGGCUUCUAGCCAGGCUCACUGUGCUGAGUCUGUGUUCAUGUCUGCUAUAAGUGGCAUUUUCUCGUUCGUCCCUUCUGCUCAGGAGAAAGAGAAAGGGAAAAUAAAGAGACUGAGAUGUAUGGAGGCAGUGUGUGUGUGUGAGUGUGUUUGUGUGUGUGUGUGAGCGAAGAGCAGGCAGAGAUUACAGCCCUCCCCUCUUCUCACAGGCAGCCCAUGUCUAAUUAUGAAUAGACUGUAAGAGUAAAACAGCAUAUGGCAACCAUC
Long non-coding RNA from Lates calcarifer (barramundi perch), 629 nucleotides. RefSeq lists it as uncharacterized. The record is from RefSeq and is a predicted model, not a curated record. The transcript is spliced from 2 exons. NCBI's taxonomy places the organism in Eukaryota, Metazoa, Chordata, Actinopteri, Centropomidae.